GACGAACGCUGGCGGCGUGCUUAACACAUGCAAGUCGAACGGAAAGGCCCUGCUUUUGUGGGGUGCUCGAGUGGCGAACGGGUGAGUAACACGUGAGUAACCUGCCCUUGACUUUGGGAUAACUUUAGGAAACUGGGGCUAAUACCGGAUAGGAGCUCCUGCUGCAUGGUGGGGGUUGGAAAGUUUCGGCGGUCGGGGAUGGACUCGCGGCUUAUCAGCUUGUUGGUGGGGUAGUGGCUUACCAAGGCUUUGACGGGUAGCCGGCCUGAGAGGGUGACCGGCCACAUUGGGACUGAGAUACGGCCCAGACUCCUACGGGAGGCAGCAGUGGGGAAUAUUGCACAAUGGGCGGAAGCCUGAUGCAGCAACGCCGCGUGCGGGAUGACGGCCUUCGGGUUGUAAACCGCUUUCGCCUGUGACGAAGCGUGAGUGACGGUAAUGGGUAAAGAAGCACCGGCUAACUACGUG
RNAcentral lists this ribosomal RNA (468 nucleotides) under uncultured bacterium. RNAcentral describes it as "partial 16S ribosomal RNA". It matches the Rfam family "Bacterial small subunit ribosomal RNA", at positions 28 to 507 of the family's 1533-position model. The record is from RNAcentral.